RNAcentral lists this ribosomal RNA (700 nucleotides) under uncultured Enterobacteriaceae bacterium. Its description in RNAcentral is "bacterial SSU rRNA". It matches the Rfam family "Bacterial small subunit ribosomal RNA", at positions 801 to 1502 of the family's 1533-position model. Lineage: Bacteria; Pseudomonadati; Pseudomonadota; Gammaproteobacteria; Enterobacterales; Enterobacteriaceae. The record is from RNAcentral.
UGUAAACGAUGUCGAUUUGGAGUUUGUUGCCUAGAGUGAUGGGCUCCGAAGCUAACGCGAUAAAUCGACCGCUGGGGAGUACGGCCGCAAGGUUAAAACUCAAAUGAAUUGACGGGGGCCCGCACAAGCGGUGGAGCAUGUGGUUUAAUUCGAUGCAACGCGAAGAACCUUACCUGGUCUUGACAUCCAUAGAAUUCUGCAGAGAUGUGGGAGUGCCUUCGGGAACUAUGAGACAGGUGCUGCAUGGCUGUCGUCAGCUCGUGUUGUGAAAUGUUGGGUUAAGUCCCGCAACGAGCGCAACCCUUAUUCUUUGUUGCCAGCGAUUUGGUCGGGAACUCAAAGGAGACUGCCGUUGAUAAAGCGGAGGAAGGUGGGGACGACGUCAAGUCAUCAUGGCCCUUACGACCAGGGCUACACACGUGCUACAAUGGCGUAUACAAAGGGAAGCGAAGGUGCGAGCUGGAGCGGAUCUCAUAAAGUACGUCCAAGUUCGGAUUGGAGUCUGCAACUCGACUCCAUGAAGUCGGAAUCGCUAGUAAUCGUAGAUCAGAAUGCUACGGUGAAUACGUUCCCGGGCCUUGUACACACCGCCCGUCACACCAUGGGAGUGGGUUGCACCAGAAGUAGAUAGCUUAACCGCGAGGGGGGCGUUUACCACGGUGUGAUUCAUGACUGGGGUGAAGUCGUAACAAGGUAACCA